Long non-coding RNA from Vespula pensylvanica (western yellowjacket), 484 nucleotides. RefSeq lists it as uncharacterized. NCBI's taxonomy places the organism in Eukaryota, Metazoa, Arthropoda, Insecta, Hymenoptera, Vespidae. The record is from RefSeq and is a predicted model, not a curated record. The transcript is spliced from 4 exons.
CUCAUACUGCACAUUGACGCUUUGCUUUCCGGAAUUGUUUCAAAGAUUCGCCAAAUAUGAAAUAAUGUAUCUAGAAGAAAGCGUUAACAAGAUUGCAAGAUUUCGAAAAUAAAUCAAUUUGGAAGCAAUAAAACAUUGAUAUUAGAACGUGAUAUAUACGACUGUGAAAAUAGUAUUCACGAUAAUGUCUUUUCCCAUACACUACUCUUAGGACUAGCUUGUGUACCACUUAGUAUUAUUCUCCCGCUGACCGUUAAAUACACGGGUUACAAAAUUUAUUUAAUAAUUUGUACUAUAGUAACCAUCGACUUUUUCUUUAUAAGAUCAUCGACACAAAAUCUUAUACUUUCUUGCAUUUUUGAAGCGUUAACUUCUAUAUGCAUGAGUAUUAUCUUCCGUAUGAUCGUCGACCUGUUUCCUACCAAUUUAAGAAUGAUGACAGCUGCCCUAGCUGCAUUUUGUGCAUGUUUAGGAUCGUUUGCAG